Molecule: ribosomal RNA, 253 nt
Filed under: uncultured bacterium
Lineage: Bacteria
Description: partial 16S ribosomal RNA
Rfam family: Bacterial small subunit ribosomal RNA
Source: RNAcentral
UACGAAGGUCCCAAGCGUUGUUCGGAAUCAUUGGGCGUAAAGCGGGUGUAGGUGGCUUUAUAAGUCAGAGGUGAAAGCCCAGGGCUCAACCCUGGAAGUGCCUUUGAUACUGUAAAGCUUGAAUGUAGGAGAGGGUACUAGAAUUCCUGGUGUAGUGGUGAAAUACGUAGAGAUCAGGAGGAAUUCCAGAUGCGAAGGCGGGUGCCUGGCCUAACAUUGACACUGAGACCCGAAAGCGUGGGGAUCAAACAGG